Long non-coding RNA from Anas platyrhynchos (mallard), 904 nucleotides. RefSeq lists it as uncharacterized. NCBI's taxonomy places the organism in Eukaryota, Metazoa, Chordata, Aves, Anseriformes, Anatidae. The record is from RefSeq and is a predicted model, not a curated record.
CACUUGUUCCCAGUAUACUGUGAAACUCAAGACAAGGUUAACUAUAUCUGUCCUCCCUUUUCUAUCUCAUUGCACCCCAAGGUGCCAGGCCCAGCUGGGACUGCACAUUUUCCUGCAACCACCUCUAACUUUGACCAUCACUUCUCAAAGUGCCAGCUCACCAAAAGCAGGUCUGGGCUUUCGGGAGGUUUCCAAAGCCCCUUCCUUCACCUCAUCUCCACCUCAUUCCAGUUUCAGGCAACGCUGACCACACCAACUGGCAAUGCAAGAGAAGGCUCCCAGCUACAGAUUGUCUUCACUCAGACCACAGCCACUAAUUUGGAGGAAGAUUUUGCCUACAACUUUAUCUUCCCCGUAUCCCUCGUGAGUUCGUACUCCUUCCUCCUUGUGCUUCGCUCCCUGCUCACCGCAUCCCCCUCUUGUCAUAUUCUUCACUGGCGGAGUAACAACCUGUCACAUCCAUAACCUCUUUGCACCAAAAAUGUUCUUUGAUCUGUGUAAACUACAUUUGAUGCUGAAAUCCUUGAUAUUAAUAUCUUUUGUUUGUGUGUCAAUGUUCUCUAGAAUCUAAUUAAGCAAUGUUUUGAGAGCAUUAUAUAUGUUUGAACAAUUUGGCAGAGCAGACAAUAUGAGCUAUUGACCUGCAAGGAUAAACUGUGCUUGCAGAUUCUAGGAAUUCACACGUGCCUGCUGCUUUAUGCUAUUUCUUCUGAAAUAUGUGCAUUCAGAAGGAGGCCUUGUUUUGCAAUAAUCUCUGCUGAGGCUUAAUCAAGUAACUUCUCACACUCCUCACUGUAAUUGCAGCGGCAGUUAGAGCAGGGCAGAACAGAAGCAGCUUUCAGCUGGCCGAGGAAAACAAUAAUAAAAUAAAACAAAGAGUGAGUUCCACCCCGACACUAAUAAC